Molecule: transfer RNA, 26 nt
Filed under: Sabicea villosa
Lineage: Eukaryota; Viridiplantae; Streptophyta; Magnoliopsida; Gentianales; Rubiaceae
Description: partial tRNA-His
Source: RNAcentral
GGCGGAUUAGCCAACGAUCGAAUGGU